Molecule: ribosomal RNA, 534 nt
Filed under: uncultured bacterium
Lineage: Bacteria
Description: bacterial SSU rRNA
Rfam family: Bacterial small subunit ribosomal RNA
Source: RNAcentral
CACGGCGCAGGGGGGCGAAACACGUGGGCAAUCUGCCCUCUGAUGGGGAAUAACCCCGCGAAAGCGGGGCUAAUUCCGCAUAACAUUCCUUGAACUUCGGUUCGGGGAUUCAAAGCAGCAAUGCGUCAGAGGAGGAGCCCGCGCCCGAUUAGCUAGUUGGUGAGGUAACGGCUCACCAAGGCAAUGAUCGGUAGCUGGUCUGAGAGGAUGGCCAGCCACACUGGAACUGAGACACGGUCCAGACUCCUACGGGAGGCAGCAGUGGGGAAUCUUGCACAAUGGGCGAAAGCCUGAUGCAGCGACGCCGCGUGGGGGAUGAAGCAUUUCGGUGUGUAAACCCCUUUCGACUGGGACGAAUGCCUCGCAAGAGGAGUGACGGUACCAGUAUAAGAAGCCCCGGCUAACUACGUGCCAGCAGCCGCGGUAAGACGUAGGGGGCCAGCGUUGUUCGGAAUUACUGGGUGUAAAGGGUUCGUAGGCGGUGCGGCAAGUCGGGAGUGAAAUCUCUGGGCUCAACCCAGAGGCUGCUUCCGA